UGCAUGCUAAGUGUUGGAGGGUUUCCGCCCUUCAGUGCUGCAGCUAACGCAUUAAGCAUUCCGCCUGGGGAGUACGGCCGCAAGGCUGAAACUCAAAGGAAUUGACGGGGGCCCGCACAAGCGGUGGAGCAUGUGGUUUAAUUCGAAGCUACGCGAAGAACCUUACCAGGUCUUGACAUACUAUGCAAAUCUAAGAGAUUAGACGUUCCCUUCGGGGACAUGGAUACAGGUGGUGCAUGGUUGUCGUCAGCUCGUGUCGUGAGAUGUUGGGUUAAGUCCCGCAACGAGCGCAACCCUUAUUAUCAGUUGCCAGCAUUAAGUUGGGCACUCUGGUGAGACUGCCGGUGACAAACCGGAGGAAGGUGGGGAUGACGUCAAAUCAUCAUGCCCCUUAUGACCUGGGCUACACACGUGCUACAAUGGAUGGUACAACGAGUUGCGAACUCGCGAGAGUAAGCUAAUCUCUUAAAGCCAUUCUCAGUUCGGAUUGUAGGCUGCAACUCGCCUACAUGAAGUCGGAAUCGCUAGUAAUCGCGGAUCAGCAUGCCGCGGUGAAUACGUUCCCGGGCCUUGUACACACCGCCCGUCACACCAUGAGAGUUUGUAACACCCAAAGUCGGUGGGGUAACCUUUUAGGAACCAGCCGCCUAAGGUGGGACAGAUGAUUAGGGUGAAGUCGUAACAAGGUAGCCGUAGGAGAACCUGCGGCUGGACCCCCCCCCUUUUAAAAACGGGCCCCCCCCGGCGGGCGGGCCGCGGG
RNAcentral lists this ribosomal RNA (760 nucleotides) under Lactiplantibacillus plantarum. RNAcentral's name for it is "bacterial SSU rRNA". It matches the Rfam family "Bacterial small subunit ribosomal RNA", at positions 810 to 1533 of the family's 1533-position model. Lineage: Bacteria; Bacillati; Bacillota; Bacilli; Lactobacillales; Lactobacillaceae. The record is from RNAcentral.